AACGUAGGGGGCAAGCGUUGCCCGGAUUCACUGGGCGUAAAGCGCGUGUAGGCGGUCCGUUAAGUCGGGUGUGAAAUCUCCGAGCUCAACUCGGAAACUGCACCCGAUACUGGCGGACUUGAGGACGGUAGAGGUCGGUGGAAUGACGAGUGUACCGGUGAAAUGGACAGAUAUUCGUCGGAACACCAGUGGCGAAGGCGGCCGACUGGGCCGGUCCUGACGCUGAGACGCGAAAGCCAGGGUAGCGAACCGG
Molecule: ribosomal RNA, 253 nt
Filed under: uncultured bacterium
Lineage: Bacteria
Description: partial 16S ribosomal RNA
Rfam family: Bacterial small subunit ribosomal RNA
Source: RNAcentral